GAUGAACGCUGGCGGCGUGCCUAAUACAUGCAAGUCGAGCGAACGGACGAGAAGCUUGCUUCUCUGAUGUUAGCGGCGGACGGGUGAGUAACACGUGGAUAACCUACCUAUAAGACUGGGAUAACUUCGGGAAACCGGAGCUAAUACCGGAUAAUAUUUUGAACCGCAUGGUUCAAAAGUGAAAGACGGCCUUGCUGUCACUUAUAGAUGGAUCCGCGCUGCAUUAGCUAGUUGGUAAGGUAACGGCUUACCAAGGCAACGAUGCAUAGCCGACCUGAGAGGGUGAUCGGCCACACUGGAACUGAGACACGGUCCAGACUCCUACGGGAGGCAGCAGUAGGGAAUCUUCCGCAAUGGGCGAAAGCCUGACGGAGCAACGCCGCGUGAGUGAUGAAGGUCUUCGGAUCGUAAAACUCUGUUAUUAGGGAAGAACAUAUGUGUAAGUAACUGUGCACAUCUUGACGGUACCUAAUCAGAAAGCCACGGCUAACUACGUGCCAGCAGCCGCGGUAAUACGUAGGUGGCAAGCGUUAUCCGGAAUUAUUGGGCGUAAAGCGCGCGUAGGCGGUUUUUUAAGUCUGAUGUGAAAGCCCACGGCUCAACCGUGGAGGGUCAUUGGAAACUGGAAAACUUGAGUGCAGAAGAGGAAAGUGGAAUUCCAUGUGUAGCGGUGAAAUGCGCAGAGAUAUGGAGGAACACCAGUGGCGAAGGCGACUUUCUGGUCUGUAACUGACGCUGAUGUGCGAAAGCGUGGGGAUCAAACAGGAUUAGAUACCCUGGUAGUCCACGCCGUAAACGAUGAGUGCUAAGUGUUAGGGGGUUUCCGCCCCUUAGUGCUGCAGCUAACGCAUUAAGCACUCCGCCUGGGGAGUACGACCGCAAGGUUGAAACUCAAAGGAAUUGACGGGGACCCGCACAAGCGGUGGAGCAUGUGGUUUAAUUCGAAGCAACGCGAAGAACCUUACCAAAUCUUGACAUCCUUUGACAACUCUAGAGAUAGAGCUUUCCCCUUCGGGGGACAAAGUGACAGGUGGUGCAUGGUUGUCGUCAGCUCGUGUCGUGAGAUGUUGGGUUAAGUCCCGCAACGAGCGCAACCCUUAAGCUUAGUUGCCAUCAUUAAGUUGGGCACUCUAAGUUGACUGCCGGUGACAAACCGGAGGAAGGUGGGGAUGACGUCAAAUCAUCAUGCCCCUUAUGAUUUGGGCUACACACGUGCUACAAUGGACAAUACAAAGGGCAGCGAAACCGCGAGGUCAAGCAAAUCCCAUAAAGUUGUUCUCAGUUCGGAUUGUAGUCUGCAACUCGACUACAUGAAGCUGGAAUCGCUAGUAAUCGUAGAUCAGCAUGCUACGGUGAAUACGUUCCCGGGUCU
Molecule: ribosomal RNA, 1372 nt
Filed under: uncultured bacterium
Lineage: Bacteria
Description: bacterial SSU rRNA
Rfam family: Bacterial small subunit ribosomal RNA
Source: RNAcentral